Molecule: ribosomal RNA, 448 nt
Filed under: uncultured Rickettsiales bacterium
Lineage: Bacteria; Pseudomonadati; Pseudomonadota; Alphaproteobacteria; Rickettsiales
Description: bacterial SSU rRNA
Rfam family: Bacterial small subunit ribosomal RNA
Source: RNAcentral
AACGAACGCUGGCGGUAUGCUUAACACAUGCAAGUCGAACGGAAACUUAGGAGCUUGCUCUUAAGUUUUAGUGGCAAACGGGUGAGUAAUGUAGAGGAAUCUCCCCAGCAGUAAGGAAUAACUUUGGGAAACCAAAGCUAAUACCAUAUAUUACCAUUUAUUUGGGAAAGAUUUAUCGCUGUUGGAUGAGCCUCUAUCGGAUUAGCUUGUUGGUGGGGUAAUGGCCUACCAAGGCGAUGAUCCGUAGCUGGUCUGAGAGGAUGAUCAGCCACACUGGAACUGAGACACGGUCCAGACUCCUACGGGAGGCAGCAGUGGGGAAUAUUGGACAAUGGGCGCAAGCCUGAUCCAGCAAUACCGCGUGGGUGAUGACGGUUUUCGGAUUGUAAAGCCCUUUUAGUAGAGAAGAUAAUGACGGUAUCUACAGAAAAAGCACCGGCAAACUUCG